CCUACGGGGGGCAGCAGUGAGGAAUAUUGGUCAAUGUGCGAGAGUCUGAACCAGCCAAGUAGCGUGAAGGAUGACUGCCCUAUGGGUUGUAAACUUCUUUUAUAUGGGAAUAAAAUGUUCCACGUGUGGGAUUUUGUAUGUACCAUAUGAAUAAGGAUCGGCUAACUCCGUGCCAGCAGCCGCGGUAAUACGGAGGAUCCGAGCGUUAUCCGGAUUUAUUGGGUUUAAAGGGAGCGUAGGUGGAUUGUUAAGUCAGUUGUGAAAGUUUGCGGCUCAACCGUAAAAUUGCAGUUGAAACUGGCAGUCUUGAGUACAGUAGAGGUGGGCGGAAUUCGUGGUGUAGCGGUGAAAUGCUUAGAUAUCACGAAGAACUCCGAUUGCGAAGGCAGUUCACUGGACUGCAACUGACACUGAGGCUCGAAAGUGUGGGUAUCAAACAGGAUUAGAUACCCUUGUAGUC
Molecule: ribosomal RNA, 460 nt
Filed under: uncultured bacterium
Lineage: Bacteria
Description: partial 16S ribosomal RNA
Rfam family: Bacterial small subunit ribosomal RNA
Source: RNAcentral